UACGAAGGGGGCUAGCGUUGCUCGGAAUGACUGGGCGUAAAGGGCGCGUAGGCGGCACACACAGUCAGACGUGAAAUUCCUGGGCUUAACCUGGGGGCUGCGUUUGAUACAUGUGAGCUAGAGGAUGGAAGAGGCUCGUGGAAUUCCCAGUGUAGAGGUGAAAUUCGUAGAUAUUGGGAAGAACACCGGUGGCGAAGGCGGCGAGCUGGUCCAUUACUGACGCUGAGGCGCGAAAGCGUGGGGAGCAAAC
Molecule: ribosomal RNA, 250 nt
Filed under: uncultured Roseococcus sp.
Lineage: Bacteria; Pseudomonadati; Pseudomonadota; Alphaproteobacteria; Acetobacterales; Roseomonadaceae
Description: partial 16S ribosomal RNA
Rfam family: Bacterial small subunit ribosomal RNA
Source: RNAcentral